Non-coding RNA from Brassica napus (rape), 125 nucleotides. Lineage: Eukaryota; Viridiplantae; Streptophyta; Magnoliopsida; Brassicales; Brassicaceae. The record is from Rfam.
GGAAUAUAAGAAUCCGUCUCUUAACGUUUAACUAAAUAAAUUAAGAACCGACUCUUAAAUAUCUUAUUUAAGAGCCGGUUCUUAAUUUAUUUAGUUUAAAGUUAAGAGAUAUGUUCUUAUAUUCC